UACGUAGGGAGCAAGCGUUGUUCGGAUUUACUGGGCGUAAAGGGCGCGUAGGCGGCAAUUCAAGUCAGCUGUGAAAUCUCCGGGCUUAACUCGGAACGGUCAGCUGAUACUGUUUUGCUAGAGUGCGGAAGGGGCAAUCGGAAUUCUCGGUGUAGCGGUGAAAUGCGUAGAUAUCAGGAGGAACACCAAUUGCGAAGGCAGCUCGCUGGGACGCUACUGACGCUGAGACGCGAAAGCGUGGGGAGCAAACAGG
RNAcentral lists this ribosomal RNA (253 nucleotides) under uncultured bacterium. RNAcentral's name for it is "partial 16S ribosomal RNA". It matches the Rfam family "Bacterial small subunit ribosomal RNA", at positions 524 to 776 of the family's 1533-position model. The record is from RNAcentral.